This 820-nucleotide ribosomal RNA is filed under the name uncultured bacterium. RNAcentral describes it as "bacterial SSU rRNA". It matches the Rfam family "Bacterial small subunit ribosomal RNA", at positions 57 to 884 of the family's 1533-position model. The record is from RNAcentral.
GCAGUCGAGGGGUAUAGGUUUUCGGACCUAGAGACCGGCGCACGGGUGCGUAACGCGUAUGCAAUCUACCUUUUACAGAGGGAUAGCCCAGAGAAAUUUGGAUUAAUACCUCAUAGUAUUAUUGAAUGGCAUCAUUUAAUAAUUAAAGUCACAACGGUAAAAGAUGAGCAUGCGUCCCAUUAGCUUGUUGGUAAGGUAACGGCUUACCAAGGCAACGAUGGGUAGGGGUCCUGAGAGGGAGAUCCCCCACACUGGUACUGAGACACGGACCAGACUCCUACGGGAGGCAGCAGUGAGGAAUAUUGGUCAAUGGGCGCAAGCCUGAACCAGCCAUGCCGCGUGCAGGAUGACGGUCCUAUGGAUUGUAAACUGCUUUUGUACAGGAAGAAACGGUUCUACGUGUAGAACCUUGACGGUACUGUAAGAAUAAGGAUCGGCUAACUCCGUGCCAGCAGCCGCGGUAAUACGGAGGAUCCAAGCGUUAUCCGGAAUCAUUGGGUUUAAAGGGUCCGUAGGCGGUUUUGUAAGUCAGUGGUGAAAGCCCAUCGCUCAACGGUGGAACGGCCAUUGAUACUGCAAGACUUGAAUUAUUGGGAAGUAACUAGAAUAUGUAGUGUAGCGGUGAAAUGCUUAGAGAUUACAUGGAAUACCAAUUGCGAAGGCAGGUUACUACCAAUAUAUUGACGCUGAUGGACGAAAGCGUGGGGAGCGAACAGGAUUAGAUACCCUGGUAGUCCACGCCNGUAACGAUGGAUACUAGCUGUUCGGAGCAAUCUGAGUGGCUAAGCGAAAGUGAUAAGUAUCCCACCUGGGGAGUACG